This is a non-coding RNA of Mycena alexandri, 91 nucleotides long. The record is from the annotation of a GenBank genome assembly. NCBI's taxonomy places the organism in Eukaryota, Fungi, Basidiomycota, Agaricomycetes, Agaricales, Mycenaceae.
GCCGUCGUAGACCGUGGUGGUCGCCCACCUACAAUUUCUGGUCAGAAUUGUAUGCAAGAAGGAGUCGGAGGUUCGAAUCCUCCCGGCGGCG